RNAcentral lists this long non-coding RNA (319 nucleotides) under Arachis ipaensis. RNAcentral describes it as "long non-coding RNA (AIPA_LNC000402)". Lineage: Eukaryota; Viridiplantae; Streptophyta; Magnoliopsida; Fabales; Fabaceae. The record is from RNAcentral.
GUGAAUGUUCCGAGGUUGCCUGAGAAGGACAUGCCAGGGUGGGGUUCCAAUGUGCCUAAUAUGGAGGAGUGGGAAGCAUUGGAGCAUCAAGCUGAGGACAAGUCGAAUUCCAAUUCAAGGAUCCUUCCUUUGAGGGAUUUAAACCUGAAUGUUGUUCUCAAGAACUUAAACCUGAAUGUUGUUUCUCAAGAAAGUCAUUCAGAAGAUGGUUCAGGGGAACAUAAAAGCAAAACUUCCUCAUAUAUUCAACAGCAUCUUGAGUUAGGAUCAAGUAAGCCUAAGAAAAAGGAGAUAAAUAUUGAAGGGAAGAUCAUGGUGG